This is an unclassified non-coding RNA of Panthera pardus (leopard), 148 nucleotides long. The record is from Ensembl. Lineage: Eukaryota; Metazoa; Chordata; Mammalia; Carnivora; Felidae.
CUUCCCAGCUGCCUCACAAGGAUCCACACACAGCAAUGGUGAUUCAUUCUGGCUUGCUGAUGAACCCACCGGGCAGGAAGCCUCAAUAUAAAUGACAGGUGGGUCUUAGUGUUGCUCUUGACUAGUGCAAGGUUUCUGGCUGCCCAGA